Molecule: ribosomal RNA, 460 nt
Filed under: uncultured bacterium
Lineage: Bacteria
Description: partial 16S ribosomal RNA
Rfam family: Bacterial small subunit ribosomal RNA
Source: RNAcentral
CCUACGGGAGGCAGCAGUGAGGAAUAUUGGUCAAUGGGCGCGAGCCUGAACCAGCCAAGUAGCGUGAAGGAUGACUGCCCUACGGGUUGUAAACUUCUUUUAUAAAGGAAUAAAGUGAGGCACGUGUGCCUUUUUGUAUGUACUUUAUGAAUAAGGAUCGGCUAAACCCGGGCCAGCAGCCGCGGUAAUACGGAGGAUCCGAGCGUUAUCCGGGUUUAUUUGGUUUAAAGGGAGCGUAGAUGGGUUGUUAAGUCAGUUGUGAAAGUUUGCGGCUCAACCGUAAAAUUGCAAUUGAUACUAGCAGCCUUGAGUACAGUAGAGGUAGGCGGAAUUCGUGGUGUAGCGGUGAAAUGCUUAGAUAUCACGAAGAACUCCGAAUGCGAAGGCAGCCUACUAAGCUGCCACUGACAUUGAUGCUCGAAAGUGUGGGUAUCAAACAGGAUUAGAUACCCUUGUAGUC